Mesocricetus auratus (golden hamster) is the source of this 520-nucleotide long non-coding RNA. RefSeq lists it as uncharacterized. The record is from RefSeq and is a predicted model, not a curated record. Lineage: Eukaryota; Metazoa; Chordata; Mammalia; Rodentia; Cricetidae. The transcript is spliced from 2 exons.
GAUGAGCAGAACCAGGCAAUCAAGUAAGGCAGCCAGCAGAGUGGCCAGGGGAAGUGCAGCUGAGGUAAGAAGAGGGAGGCUGGGAGCUGCAUGGUCCACUGCAAAGUUCUAAAGCUGUUCAAGGCGGUCCUUCUGGCUCCAAUCUCUUCUCUGAAAAAAAAAAAAAACUAUGAAAGAGGAACUGGGAAGCCACACGGCAACAGUUGCUGCCUCUGGAAUGAAUUCCUUUAGAAUCAUUCUUCUGGAAUUCUGAAGCUUCCGGGGCCAGCAAUACUGUUCCAGAACACAGGAGGCACACGUGGCAGCUACCGCAUCACAGAAUCACUCUUGGGUGGCAUCAGGGCAAUCGCUGAUGGAACACGGGAACUAUGACUUUAAGGAAAGAUGCUCUACGGGGUGAGAGAGGACCUUCUUUGCUGCAGUUGAUCAAAAGCUGUGCAGAAACAGCCACGGAAUGCUAGCCCCAUUCUAUUACACUGCGAUCUGAAUUUCCCUAACCAAUAAAAGAAAAAAAAAUCUG